GAUGAACGCUGGCGGCGUGCCUAAUACAUGCAAGUCGAGCGAACAGAUGAGGCGCUUGCUCCUUGGACGUUAGCGGCGGACGGGAGAGUAACACGUGGAUAACCUACCUAUAAGACGGGGAUAACUUCGGGAAACCGGAGCUAAUCCCGGAUAAUAUAUUGAACCGCAUGGUUCAAUAGUGAAAGACGGUUUUGCUGUAACUUAUAGCUGGAUCUCGGCCGCAUUAGCUAGUUGGUAAGGUAACGGCUUACCAAGGCAACGAUGCGUAGCCGACCUGAGAGGGUGAUAGGCCACACUGGAGCUGAGACACGGCCCAGACUCCUACGGGAGGCAGCAGUAGGGAAUCUGCCGCAAUGGGCGGAAGCCUGGCGGAGCAGCGCCGCGUGAGUGAUGAAGGUCUUCGGAGCGUAAAACUCGGUUAUUAGGGAAAAACAAAUUUGUAAGUAACUGUGCACGUCUUGACGGUACCUAAUCAGAAAGCCACGGCUAACUACGUG
This 497-nucleotide ribosomal RNA is filed under the name uncultured bacterium. RNAcentral describes it as "partial 16S ribosomal RNA". It matches the Rfam family "Bacterial small subunit ribosomal RNA", at positions 28 to 507 of the family's 1533-position model. The record is from RNAcentral.